AGGUGAGGUAGAGGCGCGGGUCAUCAAGAGUAACAUGCCAGAGGUGUUAAGGGCCGAUGAAGGUGUGUGAAAGGGGUGCCCGCCGAAGCGCGUAAACUUCCUUAAGGUUUACGCAGCUGGGCCUAUGCCGAACAGGUAUAGGACUGUCACUGAAGGCUCCCCAGGCCUUCAGUGGAGAGCUAUCUCGCUA
This 190-nucleotide non-coding RNA is filed under the name Caldanaerobacter subterraneus subsp. tengcongensis. RNAcentral describes it as "Thermoanaerobacter tengcongensis Lysine sequence". It matches the Rfam family "Lysine riboswitch aptamer". Rfam says of the family: Riboswitches are metabolite binding domains within certain messenger RNAs that serve as precision sensors for their corresponding targets. Allosteric rearrangement of mRNA structure is mediated by ligand binding, and this results in modulation of gene expression. RNAcentral also lists the same sequence under 1 other name. The record is from RNAcentral. Lineage: Bacteria; Bacillati; Bacillota; Clostridia; Thermoanaerobacterales; Thermoanaerobacteraceae.